UACGGAGGGUGCAAGCGUUAAUCGGAAUUACUGGGCGUAAAGCACACGCAGGCGGCUUGUUAAGUCGGAUGUGAAAGCCCCGGGCUCAACCUGGGAAUUGCAUUCGAUACUGGCAAGCUAGAGUAUGUGAAAGGGGGGUAGAAUUCCAAGUGUAGCGGUGAAAUACGUAGAGAUUUGGAGGAAUACCAGUGGCAAAGGCGACCCCCUGGCACACUACUGACGCUCAGGUGCGAAAGCGUGGGGAGCAAACAGG
RNAcentral lists this ribosomal RNA (253 nucleotides) under uncultured bacterium. Its description in RNAcentral is "partial 16S ribosomal RNA". It matches the Rfam family "Bacterial small subunit ribosomal RNA", at positions 524 to 776 of the family's 1533-position model. The record is from RNAcentral.